This 69-nucleotide non-coding RNA is filed under the name Ruminococcaceae bacterium OttesenSCG-928-A11. Lineage: Bacteria; Bacillati; Bacillota; Clostridia; Eubacteriales; Oscillospiraceae. The record is from RNAcentral.
UGCCGAAACGCGGGCGGUGCCCGCGUCCUGUGAGGGAUGGCCUCCCGCAGCUGAUGAAGGCAGGCCGGA